RNAcentral lists this long non-coding RNA (609 nucleotides) under Cyanistes caeruleus (blue tit). RNAcentral describes it as "lncRNA (ENSCCEG00000004339.1)". Lineage: Eukaryota; Metazoa; Chordata; Aves; Passeriformes; Paridae. The record is from RNAcentral.
CCCAAAACGAGACAGAAAGAGCAAAAUCCUUCCUGUGGUGGAGCUGCUGUGGGAGGAGAGCUCUUGCCUUCUGGAAGAGGAAGCAACCUUUGCAGCUGUGAAACCUGAGAGAACAAUGGAGGUUGUGUAGACCAGAAGUUACAGGGGGCUGCUCUCAGGGCUUGAUGCCAGAGAUGUCCCACAGCAGCAAUCUUUUCUCUGUAAUAAAUUCUAAACUUCUCUUGACCUUAUUGCUGCAUUCUGGGCUGAAAUACAUCUGAACAACUGAUGGGAGGCUGAAUUUGAACUCAGCUUUUUAUUCCUGCCUUAGCCAUGCAGUGGAAGAACAUCUCAUACCACACCCUCCAUCUUGCUGUUGUGAAUUAAGUUGCUUUUUCAAGUGGUUCCUCACAUGCAGGUGUUCAGGCUUUGGGACAUCUGUGCAGCUGGUGCUGGCUGUCAGCUGGAGGUACAACGACUGAUACUGAACUGAUAAGGCUGGCUCUAAGUGGUGGCUUUGAGGGGAUGGUCUAGGCUAUGUUAGCUGUGUCCUCCAGGGUAGCAUUCCUCUGAUCUAAAAUAUAUCCCCUGAAUGUGUUUUUGUGAGCUGAAUGAUGAUUUGCACAGAGU